GACGAACCGAGCGAACGUUAUUCGGAAUCACUGGGCUUAAAGGGCGCGUAGGCGGGCGAUCAAGUCAGGGGUGAAAGCCCCCAGCUCAACUGGGGAAGUGCCUCUGAUACUGGUGGCCUCGAGGGAGGUAGGGGCGUGCGGAACUUCCGGUGGAGCGGUGAAAUGCGUAGAUAUCGGAAGGAACAUCGGUGGCGAAAGCGGCGCGCUGGACCUCUUCUGACGCUGAGGCGCGAAAGCCAGGGGAGCGAACGGG
Molecule: ribosomal RNA, 253 nt
Filed under: uncultured bacterium
Lineage: Bacteria
Description: partial 16S ribosomal RNA
Rfam family: Bacterial small subunit ribosomal RNA
Source: RNAcentral